RNAcentral lists this ribosomal RNA (253 nucleotides) under uncultured bacterium. RNAcentral's name for it is "partial 16S ribosomal RNA". It matches the Rfam family "Bacterial small subunit ribosomal RNA", at positions 524 to 776 of the family's 1533-position model. The record is from RNAcentral.
GACGAACCGUGCGAACGUUGUUCGGAAUCACUGGGCUUAAAGGGUGCGUAGGCGGGUUUUUAAGUCAGGGGUGAAAUCCUGGAGCUCAACUCCAGAACUGCCUUUGAUACUGAAGAUCUCGAGUCCGGGAGAGGUGAGUGGAACUGCGAGUGUAGAGGUGAAAUUCGUAGAUAUUCGCAAGAACACCAGUGGCGAAGGCGGCUCACUGGCCCGGUACUGACGCUGAGGCACGAAAGCGUGGGGAGCAAACAGG